GACGAACGCUGGCGGCGUGCCUAAUACAUGCAAGUCGAGCGGAUUUCAAGGAGCUUGCUCCUUGAUUUCAGCGGCGGACGGGUGAGUAACACGUGGGCAACCUGCCUAUGAGACUGGGAUAACUUCGGGAAACCGGAGCUAAUACCGGAUAAUCCUUUUCCUCUCAUGGGGGAAAGCUGAAAGACGGCGUAAGCUGUCACUUAUAGAUGGGCCCGCGGCGCAUUAGCUAGUUGGUGAGGUAACGGCUCACCAAGGCGACGAUGCGUAGCCGACCUGAGAGGGUGAUCGGCCACACUGGGACUGAGACACGGCCCAGACUCCUACGGGAGGCAGCAGUAGGGAAUCUUCCGCAAUGGACGAAAGUCUGACGGAGCAACGCCGCGUGAGCGAAGAAGGCCUUCGGGUCGUAAAGCUCUGUUGUUAGGGAAGAACAAGUGUUGGAGUAACUGCCGGCACCUUGACGGUACCUAACCAGAAAGCCACGGCUAACUACGUGCCAGCAGCCGCGGUAAUACGUAGGUGGCAAGCGUUGUCCGGAAUUAUUGGGCGUAAAGCGCGCGCAGGCGGUCUUUUAAGUCUGAUGUGAAAGCCCCCGGCUCAACCGGGGAGGGUCAUUGGAAACUGGAGGACUUGAGUGCAGAAGAGAAGAGCGGAAUUCCACGUGUAGCGGUGAAAUGCGUAGAGAUGUGGAGGAACACCAGUGGCGAAGGCGGCUCUUUGGUCUGUAACUGACGCUGAGGCGCGAAAGCGUGGGGAGCAAACAGGAUUAGAUACCCUGGUAGUCCACGCCGUAAACGAUGAGUGCUAAGUGUUAGAGGGUUUCCGCCCUUUAGUGCUGCAGCAAACGCAUUAAGCACUCCGCCUGGGGAGUACGGCCGCAAGGCUG
Molecule: ribosomal RNA, 886 nt
Filed under: uncultured bacterium
Lineage: Bacteria
Description: bacterial SSU rRNA
Rfam family: Bacterial small subunit ribosomal RNA
Source: RNAcentral